UCACAUCACCGCGGGAGCUCGCGCCACAGCGGGCUGAGAGGGCGGCUGGAGUCGAUCACGACCCGGUGCCGCCGACCGCCUGAACCUGUACUGGGUAAUGCCAGCGUAGGGAGGAUCUCGAUGACAUCG
Molecule: non-coding RNA, 129 nt
Filed under: Kutzneria viridogrisea DSM 43870
Lineage: Bacteria; Bacillati; Actinomycetota; Actinomycetes; Pseudonocardiales; Pseudonocardiaceae
Description: Kutzneria albida DSM 43870 TPP riboswitch aptamer (THI element)
Rfam family: TPP riboswitch aptamer (THI element)
About the family: Vitamin B(1) in its active form thiamin pyrophosphate (TPP) is an essential coenzyme that is synthesised by coupling of pyrimidine and thiazole moieties in bacteria.
Source: Rfam by way of RNAcentral